Molecule: long non-coding RNA, 341 nt
Organism: Symphalangus syndactylus (siamang)
Lineage: Eukaryota; Metazoa; Chordata; Mammalia; Primates; Hylobatidae
Source: RefSeq, a predicted model, not a curated record
UAUGGGCCAAGAAUGAUGAUCAAUUAUCACAGAUAUGGCUGUGAAAAAUGGUGGUGAAAAUAAACUGCAGCCUUACCAGCUAAUGAUGCUGAGAUCAAUAUGGGACUAGUUCUAGGAAGUCAGCGUGAAACGCCUGAAGUUUCCUGCCUCCAGACUCCACUCUCCUACCUCAAUUCUACUCCCUACUUUUAUGAGCUCGACUCACAUUUGAUGGCAUAGAAGACUUAAUUUCCUCCUCAUGAUUAAUCUCUCAGUUGGAGGGUAUACUCACUCUUACAAAGAAUCCAGGACGAAAGCCCUCAUCAGAUGCUGACAACAUGAUCUUGGACUUCCCAGCCUCC